CCACCUCGUACUUCAAAGCUUCUUGAUCGAUCCAUAUCGCAUGCGACUCGACCACCACAAAGAUACUCGACCACUCUUUUCUUUCUUUUUUUUUUUUUUUUUUUAACGGGUUUCUACAUUCUCCCCCCCUUAAUAGAAUUCGUCCUCCAAUUCUUAGUUGCGAAAUUGCUCGUCUUCACAACAUUCUCCAAGCGUCUCCAUAACCUCUUUACUCUGUCCAUAACUGUUCCUUGAGUGUCCUCUUCAAGGCCUCGACAAUCGUCUUCAUAUCUCAUCACUGGAAUGAUCACUGAGUCAUCCUCUUGCUUUUACUCUGCCAUAACACACUCAUUGCCCUGAUACGAUCUUGU
Molecule: long non-coding RNA, 350 nt
Filed under: Brassica rapa (field mustard)
Lineage: Eukaryota; Viridiplantae; Streptophyta; Magnoliopsida; Brassicales; Brassicaceae
Description: long non-coding RNA (BRAP_LNC008255)
Source: RNAcentral